UGUCGGGUCCCUAUAUAUAGGUCUAAGGUUUUAUUUGAACAUUGAAAUGGUCAUACAAUGCCAAAAAUUCCAAAUCUGGUCUGCUUUGGCAAACAUUGCCAUCAUUGCGGUAAAUGGAUGGAGCGAAGAGCUUUGAGGAAAGAUUGAAUGGUUGGUCUUCAAACUCUAGAAACCAGACGGAAACUGCUGCAUA
RNAcentral lists this long non-coding RNA (193 nucleotides) under Leguminivora glycinivorella. RNAcentral's name for it is "uncharacterized LOC125239839". The record is from RNAcentral. Lineage: Eukaryota; Metazoa; Arthropoda; Insecta; Lepidoptera; Tortricidae.